UAUCUGAUACUUUGAGGGACCAUCUCUAGAGCUCACUAGUAGAGAAGCUCCUAUGGACAUGUAGAGUACCUAAAAGCAGGAGGCUGAGGUGUGGUGUUCUCUCCUGAGCAUGAAGCAAGCUCUUCCUGUGGCUAUGUAGCAACAGCCUUCUGCCAUUAGUGAUCAGUCUUCUUUCCCCUUGGGAGAGGUAGAGAGAGACAGAAUCAUAUGA
Phodopus roborovskii (desert hamster) is the source of this 211-nucleotide small nucleolar RNA. RefSeq annotates it as small nucleolar RNA U3. The record is from RefSeq and is a predicted model, not a curated record. The transcript has a single exon. NCBI's taxonomy places the organism in Eukaryota, Metazoa, Chordata, Mammalia, Rodentia, Cricetidae.